Molecule: long non-coding RNA, 519 nt
Filed under: Phascolarctos cinereus (koala)
Lineage: Eukaryota; Metazoa; Chordata; Mammalia; Diprotodontia; Phascolarctidae
Description: lncRNA (ENSPCIG00000006859.2)
Source: RNAcentral
CCUGCUUACACUUUUCUUUAGCUUCCAAAUUUCUUGAAAUUUGUCCACAUUACCUCCACUUCCUAAACAUUUACUCUCUUUAAAAUCCCUAGAAAUUUAUUACUCAGCCCAAAUAUUCUCUCUGAAACUGUUAUCUCAAAGGUCACUAGUAACUUACUAAAUCCAAUUUUAUUUUUUUCAAUCCAGGCACAUCCUUCUUGCCCUUCCUGCACCAGCUGCCACUGUUUACCAGUCUGUAGCAGCUGGGCGAUGGAGAGAUUGUCAAGGAUUCUUGACUGACAUGUUCCCCUGGCUGUGAUUCGGGGGCUAGCUUCCUCAGAAUCUCCAUUUGAAAUUGGCAGAAACGGUGUCGCUGAGGACUCCUCUCAUGUCCUGUCACAUUUCCAUGCGAACAAAUCUCAUCUCACUGACGACGCCUGUCAAGUUUCACUUCGUUGCAGAGAUUUUUCAGUGAGCUCUGUCUUUAAUAAAGGGGAGAAGGGGGGUUGGGGGGUGGGUAGGAGCUGGAACUACUAAUUU